Molecule: transfer RNA, 537 nt
Filed under: uncultured cyanobacterium
Lineage: Bacteria; Bacillati; Cyanobacteriota
Description: partial miscellaneous RNA
Rfam family: tRNA (bases 208-280)
Source: RNAcentral
CAGGGAGACAACAAAAUGUUUAAUAUUAUUUUGUCACCUUAGGUCGAUCGGUAUCUCACGUUCUUGAUUUAUUGAGAAUUUCAUUUCCUAAGUUUUUCUAGGUCACACCCAUUAUUUUCCUGGGCCAUUAGCUCAGGUGGUUAGAGCGCACCCCUGAUAAGGGUGAGGUCCCUGGUUCAAGUCCAGGAUGGCCCAUAUCUCUAUGUUGGGGGUAUAGCUCAGUUGGUAGAGCGCCUGCUUUGCAAGCAGGAUGUCAGCGGUUCGAGUCCGCUUACCUCCACUGAUUACCACCUCUUCCAUAAUCUGUAGAAAGGAAAAUUUUUGAGUUGUGAUCAAAAUUCUGAACGAAUCUAGCUUCCUACUGAAAUCAUUAAGAUGCUGGACUCAUUGAAUUAAUUUCAUUGUUUUCAGAGAACCUUGACAACUGCAUAGAUUUUUUUAAAGACAAUAAGCAUCUUUAAUGAUGCAGAUUUAUUAUUUGUGCGAAUGCAUUAAUAACAAUUCUAUUAAGCUGAUGCUUCAAUUUUUGAAGUUAUU